RNAcentral lists this ribosomal RNA (386 nucleotides) under uncultured bacterium. RNAcentral's name for it is "bacterial SSU rRNA". It matches the Rfam family "Bacterial small subunit ribosomal RNA", at positions 32 to 410 of the family's 1533-position model. The record is from RNAcentral.
AAUCAACGCUGGCGGCGUGCCUCAGACAUGCAAGUCGAACGCGAAAGUCCCCUUCGGGGGAUGAUUAGAGUGGCGCACGGGUGAGUAACACGUAGGUAAUCUACCUUCGAGUGGGGAAUAACUCAGGGAAACUUGAGCUAAUACCGCAUAAUGCAGCGGCACCACAUGGUGACAGUUGUUAAAGCAUUUAUGCGCUUGAAGAGGAGCCUGCGGCGGAUAGCUAGUUGGUAAGGUAAUGGCUUACCAAGGCUACGAUCUGUAACCGACCUGAGAGGGCGGACGGUCACACUGACACUGAAUAACGGGUCAGACUCCUACGGGAGGCAGCAGUCGGGAAUUUUGGGCAAUGGGCGAAAGCCUGACCCAGCAACGCCGCGUGAAGGAUG